This 590-nucleotide ribosomal RNA is filed under the name uncultured bacterium. Its description in RNAcentral is "bacterial SSU rRNA". It matches the Rfam family "Bacterial small subunit ribosomal RNA", at positions 335 to 916 of the family's 1533-position model. The record is from RNAcentral.
ACUCCUACGGGAGGCAGCAGUAGGGAAUCUUCCGCAAUGGACGAAAGUCUGACGGAGCAACGCCGCGUGAGUGAAGAAGGGUUUCGGCUCGUAAAACUCUGUUGUCAGGGAAGAACGUCCCCGUGAGUAACUGCACGGGGAGUGACGGUACCUGACCAGAAAGCCACGGCUAGCUACGUGCCAGCAGCCGCGGUAAUACGUUGGUGGCAAGCGUUAUCCGGAAUUAUUGGGCGUAAAGCGCGCGUAGGCGGUCUGUUAAGUCUGAUGUGAAAGCCCCCGGCUCAACCGGGGAGGGUCAUUGGAAACUGGCAGACUUGAGUGCAGAAGAGGAGAGUGGAAUUCCAUGUGUAGCGGUGAAAUGCGCAGAGAUAUGGAGGAACACCAGUGGCGAAGGCGGCUCUCUGGUCUGUAACUGACGCUGAGGUGCGAAAGCGUGGGGAUCAAACAGGAUUAGAUACCCUGGUAGUCCACGCCGUAAACGAUGAGUGCUAAGUGUUAGGGGGUUUCCGCCCCUUAGUGCUGCAGCUAACGCAUUAAGCACUCCGCCUGGGGAGUACGGCCGCAAGGUUGAAACUGAAAGGAAUUGACGG